AUUUUAUUUUACCAUAAUAUGGCAUAUAUUGUUGACAAGGCAACACUGUCGACCGUAUUCCGCUCGGAAUCGUUUUUUUCGUUAGCGACGGUUAAUCGUUGUUUAUACAGAUAUAUACAUUAAAUUACCCAUAACAGUGACUGCACCCGUUCCCAUUGUCCUAGGACAGCCAUUUCACCUUUCGUUUUUCCGGCGAACCAUCUGCAUACGGAGGUACUAGCCGCGUACUAGACGUUAACAACGGACGAGCGCGGAAACCGUUCGAUCCGCGUCAGU
Cinara cedri is the source of this 276-nucleotide non-coding RNA. NCBI's taxonomy places the organism in Eukaryota, Metazoa, Arthropoda, Insecta, Hemiptera, Aphididae. The record is from the annotation of a GenBank genome assembly.